This 544-nucleotide ribosomal RNA is filed under the name Salmonella enterica subsp. enterica serovar Reading. Its description in RNAcentral is "partial 23S ribosomal RNA". It matches the Rfam family "Bacterial large subunit ribosomal RNA", at positions 646 to 1191 of the family's 2925-position model. Lineage: Bacteria; Pseudomonadati; Pseudomonadota; Gammaproteobacteria; Enterobacterales; Enterobacteriaceae. The record is from RNAcentral.
UUAACCGAAUAGGGGAGCCGGAGGGAAACCGAGUCUUAACCGGGCGUUAAGUUGCAGGGUAUAGACCCGAAACCCGGUGAUCUAGCCAUGGGCAGGUUGAAGGUUGGGUAACACUAACUGGAGGACCGAACCGACUAAUGUUGAAAAAUUAGCGGAUGACCUGUGGCUGGGGGUGAAAGGCCAAUCAAACCGGGAGAUAGCUGGUUCUCCCCGAAAGCUAUUUAGGUAGCGCCUCGUGAAUUCAUCUCCGGGGGUAGAGCACUGUUUCGGCUAGGGGGCCAUCCCGGCUUACCAACCCGAUGCAAACUGCGAAUACCGGAGAAUGUUAUCACGGGAGACACACGGCGGGUGCUAACGUCCGUCGUGAAGAGGGAAACAACCCAGACCGCCAGCUAAGGUCCCAAAGUCAUGGUUAAGUGGGAAACGAUGUGGGAAGGCCCAGACAGCCAGGAUGUUGGCUUAGAAGCAGCCAUCAUUUAAAGAAAGCGUAAUAGCUCACUGGUCGAGUCGGCCUGCGCGGAAGAUGUAACGGGGCUAAACCAUG